GAUGAACGCUGGCGGCGUGCCUAAUACAUGCGAGUCGAGCGAACGGACGAGAAGCUUGCUUCUCUGAUGUUAGCGGCGGACGGGUGAGUAACACGUGGAUAACCUACCUAUAAGACUGGGAUAACUUCGGGAAACCGGAGCUAAUACCGGAUAAUAUUAUGAACCGCAUGGUUCAAAAGUGAAAGACGGUCUUGCUGUCACUUAUAGAUGGAUCCGCGCUGCAUUAGCUAGUUGGUAAGGUAACGGCUUACCAAGGCAACGAUGCAUAGCCGACCUGAGAGGGUGAUCGGCCACACUGGAACUGAGACACGGUCCAGACUCCUACGGGAGGCAGCAGUAGGGAAUCUUCCGCAAUGGGCGAAAGCCUGACGGAGCAACGCCGCGUGAGUGAUGAAGGUCUUCGGAUCGUAAAACUCUGUUAUUAGGGAAGAACAUAUGUGUAAGUAACUGUGCACAUCUUGACGGUACCUAAUCAGAAAGCCACGGCUAACUACGUG
This 497-nucleotide ribosomal RNA is filed under the name uncultured bacterium. Its description in RNAcentral is "partial 16S ribosomal RNA". It matches the Rfam family "Bacterial small subunit ribosomal RNA", at positions 28 to 507 of the family's 1533-position model. The record is from RNAcentral.